RNAcentral lists this ribosomal RNA (560 nucleotides) under Pseudo-nitzschia pungens. RNAcentral describes it as "partial Bacterial large subunit ribosomal RNA". It matches the Rfam family "Bacterial large subunit ribosomal RNA", at positions 1 to 520 of the family's 2925-position model. The record is from RNAcentral. Lineage: Eukaryota; Bacillariophyta; Bacillariophyceae; Bacillariales; Bacillariaceae.
GUAAGAGCAUUUGGUGGAUGCCUUGGCACAUACAGGCGAUGAAGGACGUGGCACGCUGCGAUAAGCGUUGGGGAGAUGUGAGCAAUCUUUGAUCCAGCGAUUUCCGAAUGGGGGAACCCAUCCUCACCAUUUACUUUUGUUUUGAAGCACUUCGGUGUGACAAAGUGAGAGUAAAUGGGGAAGGAUAUUACCGAGUUGAAUAAAAUAGACUUGGUGAAGCGAACCCGGCGAACUGAAACAUCUCAGUAACCGGAGGAAAAGACAUCAACCGAGAUUCCGUUAGUAGUGGCGAGCGAAAGCGGAUUAGCCCAAACCGAUGUUGUUUCGGCAAUAUCGGGGUUGUAGGACCACGAGAUUUGGUGCGUAAUGAACUGGAACAAGUUGGAAAGCUUGGCCGUAGAGGGUGAUAGCCCCUUACAGGUAAAGACCGUUACCGAUAGUGGUAUCCUGAGUAGCGCGGGGCACGUGAAACCUUGCGUGAAUCUGGCGGGACCAUCCGCCAAGGCUAAAUACUCCUGAGAGACCGAUAGUGAACCAGUACCGUGAGGGAAAGGUGAAAA